GUCUACAGCCACACCACCUUGAACAUGCCUAUCUUGUCUAGUCUUGGAAGCUAAGCAGAGUUGGACAUGGUUAGUACUUCGAUGGGAGACCGCCCUGGAAUACCUGGUGGUAUUAAAAA
Molecule: ribosomal RNA, 119 nt
Organism: Pan paniscus (pygmy chimpanzee)
Lineage: Eukaryota; Metazoa; Chordata; Mammalia; Primates; Hominidae
Source: Ensembl